UGAAGCAGCAACGCCGCGUGGAGGAUGAAAUACUUUUGUAUGUAAACUCCUGUAAGAAGGGAAAAAUAUUCCGAUUUAUCGGGAUUGAUUGUACCUUCAGAGUAAGCCCCGGCUAACUACGUGCCAGCAGCCGCGGUAAUACGUAGGGGGCAAGCGUUGUCCGGAUUUACUGGGUGUAAAGGGUGCUCAGGUGGACUUUUAAGUCAGAGGUGAAAUCCCAAAGCUUAACUUUGGAGCUGCCUUUGAUACUGAAAGUCUAGAGUUUGAGAGAGGGCAAUGGAAUAUCUGGUGUAGCAGUGAAAUGCGUAAAUAUCAGAUAGAACACCAAUGGCGAAGGCAGUUGCCUGGCUCAAAACUGACGCUCAAGCACGAAAGUGUGGGGAGCAAACAGGAUUAGAUACCCUGGUAGUCCACACCCUAAACGAUGAAUACUAGAUGUUGGUCUUUUUUAAGGUCAGUAUCCAAGCUAACGCAUUAAGUAUUCCACCUGGGAA
This 494-nucleotide ribosomal RNA is filed under the name uncultured Chlorobiales bacterium. Its description in RNAcentral is "bacterial SSU rRNA". It matches the Rfam family "Bacterial small subunit ribosomal RNA", at positions 384 to 879 of the family's 1533-position model. Lineage: Bacteria; Pseudomonadati; Chlorobiota; Chlorobiia; Chlorobiales. The record is from RNAcentral.